RNAcentral lists this long non-coding RNA (489 nucleotides) under Equus caballus (horse). RNAcentral's name for it is "lncRNA (ENSECAG00000051172.1)". The record is from RNAcentral. Lineage: Eukaryota; Metazoa; Chordata; Mammalia; Perissodactyla; Equidae.
AAAGCAGCCUAUACAAUAUGUAACGAAAGGCCUCCCCAAAGUCCAAGUCAACCAAAAAGGAUCUCCAGAUGGCUCACCCACGAUUAGGUCUUCUUCAAUUGUUCCAGGAGGAUUAAUUAGUCACCACCACGAGUAUGAGGACCAAAUCAAGAGGCAAUAUGGCAGAGAAAGAGAGAGGGAGGGAGGCCCUCGCCUACUGAUGAGGGAGUUUGCACUGCUGUUGGGGGAGAGAGGCAAUAAACAUAGAAACCGAUUAAUUUCAGAAAGGGUGCAGCUUGGGAAUUGAAGGUUUUAGAAGUUUCCUUAGUGGUUCCAAUGUUCAGCCAAGGCUGAGAACCAUGGCUGUAAAUCAAUGGUUCUUACAGUCCCCAGACCAGCAGCAUCAGCAUCACUUGGUAACUUAUUAGAAAUGCAAAUCCUAUAUGGGCUUUAUUGUUUUCAGGCAAUUUCUUUCUAUUCCUAAUUUGUUGAAAGUUUUUAUCAUUAAAG